Molecule: long non-coding RNA, 411 nt
Organism: Gallus gallus (chicken)
Lineage: Eukaryota; Metazoa; Chordata; Aves; Galliformes; Phasianidae
Source: Ensembl
GUGGGACUAAGAGGAAUACGUGUCUGUAUGACAAGAGAUAAGCUAUUCCUUUCAUUGUUCCAUCUAAUUCUGCCCCAACUUCACUGAGACCUACUAUGUGCCUCUCCAAGGACUGCUUUUGCUAAGCAUAAGCAGGACGCAAGAAAACAGAACAGUUCAGAUAAUUGACUUUAUUGUGCAAGCAUUCAGACAUGGGGGUGGAGAAUUUACACAGUCUGUGUGGGGCAGCAGAAGAUUGGGGUUGCAGGACUGUGAAGAAGGACUGACCAGAAGUACCAGCUCCAUCACAGACCCUAUCAGGUGCACUUGUGUUAGCAGUUUUGAUGGAGUAAUUGAUCAUCAUAAAAUAUGCUUCAGUUGUUCAGAUAUCAAGUACCACCACUCCAGCUUUUCCCAGCUUUCAACAUUCUG